Molecule: long non-coding RNA, 2002 nt
Filed under: Vulpes vulpes (red fox)
Lineage: Eukaryota; Metazoa; Chordata; Mammalia; Carnivora; Canidae
Description: lncRNA (ENSVVUG00000030212.1)
Source: RNAcentral
CGCGUCACCAUAUAUUUGUACACCAAGAGUGAACCCUAAUGUAAACUAUGGACUUUGGGUGAUAACGAAGUAUCAGGGUAGGCUCACUGAGUGUAACGAAUGUACCACCCUGGCAGGGGCAUGUUGAUAAUGGGGCAGGCUACACAUGGGUGGGGGGUGCUUUAAGGGAAACCUCUGCACUUUACUUUCAAUUUUGCUGUGAACCUAAAGUUGCUCUAAAAAAUAAAGUCCAAAAAAAAAAAAAACAACUCGGAGGAUCCGGUAUCUUUUUUCAGUUGUAUUGAUUAGGGCCAUUUUCAUCUUAAUUAACGUGGUGCUUUCACUGUGAGGAUUCCGAAGAAUGAAACAGCAACGUGGAAUGGUCUCACAAAAGCAAAUCUUACCAAGUAGUCAAAUAAAAUCACUCCCUAUGUGAAAAUACACGUUAGGCUGGAUAAUGUUGGAACCCCCUUCCCGGUGAAGAAAAACAGAACAAGUUUGAAAGAAUAGUAAACUUAAUUCUAAAGUGGAGAUUUUUAUUUUUUGCUGGAAUAAAAACACUUUAGGGGGGUAGUGGGUACAAGAAAAAGUGCCGCGACUCAAGUGUACAACCUGGGACAACUUCGCCUCCCUCCUUACCUGAACUAAAAGUAAUGUCACACAUGUUAAGGCUUAUAUUCUUAAGUCACACAGGCCCAACUACUUGGGGGAUUAGCUGUCACUUCAUAUCCUCUUCAAGAGUGGUGCUACCGACUAGGAAGGCCAAGGGCCGAAGAAAGUCACCUUGGCACCCACGCCUCAAAGGAGCAGUUUGGGUUUCUCAGGAGGUGCCACCUGGACAUCCUGGGAAUAUGGUUAUCCUGCGUUUUGACUUCUUUUGAGCACUUGAAGCCUACACUUAGGUGUAAGGGACAGAACCGUCUGAUGAAGACACAGGCCACCUGAUUUUCUCCUAGAAAGCAGGGCCCAAGUGGACUAUUUCAAACUGGCUACACAUCUCUGCAAUUUAAAAUUUUCCUACUGCUAUCUCUUCACGGAGUCUCAAAAGCAGUUUUCAGGCAAGGCAAACGUAUUCGAGAAAGUUCAGGCGCAGGGUGUUGUUCUGAGAUUUCCUUUUCUUGGGAAGGGAAAGGGGGUCGCGGAGCGUCUUUCUGACCACCAGGGGAAAGUCUUCCACAAAUGUCAUCCGGCUGGGGGCAACCUAUGGACUUUGGGAAGUCAGUUGGGACAGUCACGAGCCACCACCUCUGACCUCUCGGGACCUGCUCGACUGGAGCCCGGGAGGAGGACAGCGCGGGCUUCCCCGCGGGGCAGAGGCCGCCCCCUCCCGGCAGGGGAGCAGCGCCAGCGCCGUCGGACGUGCGGACCCGCCGGGGUCCCGGCAGCCGCAGCAGCGCCCCCGGGAGAGGCACUCCUUAGCUUCCAAUUGCCAGCAGUCCAGUCCAAGCCCAGACUCUCUGGGGACCUCUUGCUCUCUGGCCAAAGCCGUGAUUGAACAGGUGUGGGAAUCAAGACAUUGUUGUCAUCACUGACAGGCUGGAUUGUUACUAUUAUUCUCUUGUACCUGGAGUCCAUAAAAUAAUUCAAGGUUUGUUCUCCUUCCUUGUUUUUUUUCUCAAUGCAUGAUAAUUUUAAGCAGAAAUUUAAGACAUCAGUAUAUACGUAUGUUUACAAAAUCAUAAUAUUAUAGGAAAUAAUAACUUUAGCAAAAAUCUCAAGAAUUUUCUUGAAUCAUUCCAUCAUUGUGAUAUUUGGAGAUAUAUAGAACAGUCUACACUACCAGAAGGAAAUAAGGUCAUUAGAAAAGUAAAGAUCUCUGAUGGUGAUUUGUCAUAGUAACGAAAAAGGAAUUUCCUAAGCAUCAAACUUAAGUCUGUAACGCACUCAUUUACUACGGUUUUUAUGAUUAUUAUAGCAGAUGCUACAUAUCAUUAAUAUUUUGUCAAACAAAAAAAUUCUUAUCAACUCAUAAUUUCCUACAAUUUUACUAUAAUAAAUAAAAAUAAAGGAAUACUUUUUCCCA